AGUUUUGGUUUCUGGAAGCAAAGUUCUGUGACACUCGGACUCUGAUUAUAAUAGAAGUCAGUGCACUACAGAACUUUGUCUCCAGGGGCUGCAGCAG
Molecule: microRNA precursor, 97 nt
Filed under: Python bivittatus (Burmese python)
Lineage: Eukaryota; Metazoa; Chordata; Lepidosauria; Squamata; Pythonidae
Description: microRNA pbv-mir-148a precursor
Gene: pbv-mir-148a
Rfam family: mir-148/mir-152 microRNA precursor family (bases 13-85)
About the family: The hairpin precursors (represented here) are predicted based on base pairing and cross-species conservation -- their extents are not known. In this case the mature sequence is excised from the 3' arm of the hairpin.
Source: miRBase by way of RNAcentral